This is a long non-coding RNA of Helianthus annuus (common sunflower), 359 nucleotides long. RefSeq lists it as uncharacterized. Lineage: Eukaryota; Viridiplantae; Streptophyta; Magnoliopsida; Asterales; Asteraceae. The transcript is spliced from 3 exons. The record is from RefSeq and is a predicted model, not a curated record.
AAAUCUUCAAAUUGAAGGGUGGAAUGAAGUCCAAAUUCACAACCGAACAUGAAUUAACGAUCACCUUCACAAGGGGAUCAUAAGGAAUCAUGUCAAGAUGGAUGGGAGCUUUGGAGGCUAACGGGCUAUGGAAACUCAAUCAAGUAAGCGAACGAGAAUACGGACGCGCAAGGCUAUACAUGUUUGGAUGUUUCAUCUAGAAGCGUACGCGGUUGAAGAUCGUGUCAAGACACUGAUUGUAUGUGGGUGUAUACGUAGUCACUUAAUUGAGUCAUGUAUGUUAGUUUUUGCAUUAAAUUAUAAAAGAGAUUAAUGUAUUUAAAUGAAAGAAAGAAUAUCAUGAAGGAAAUUUCUAGUUA